UACGGAGGAUGCGAGCGUUAUCCGGAUUUAUUGGGUUUAAAGGGUGCGUAGACGGGCUUUUAAGUCAGCGGUAAAAAUUCGGGGCUCAACCCCGUCCGGCCGUUGAAACUGGGGGUCUUGAGUGGGCGAGAAGAAGGCGGAAUGCGUGGUGUAGCGGUGAAAUGCAUAGAUAUCACGCAGAACCCCGAUUGCGAAGGCAGCCUUCCGGCGCCCUACUGACGCUGAGGCACGAAAGUGCGGGGAUCGAACAGG
This 252-nucleotide ribosomal RNA is filed under the name uncultured bacterium. RNAcentral describes it as "partial 16S ribosomal RNA". It matches the Rfam family "Bacterial small subunit ribosomal RNA", at positions 524 to 776 of the family's 1533-position model. The record is from RNAcentral.